Molecule: ribosomal RNA, 438 nt
Filed under: uncultured bacterium
Lineage: Bacteria
Description: partial 16S ribosomal RNA
Rfam family: Bacterial small subunit ribosomal RNA
Source: RNAcentral
CUACGGGGUGUGCAGUGGGGAAUAUUGGACAAUGGGCGCAAGCCUGAUCCAGCAAUGCCGCGUGAGUGAAGACGGCCUUAGGGUUGUAAAACUCUUUCGCUAGGGAAGAUAAUGACUGUACCUAGUAAAGAAGUCCCGGCUAGCUCCGUGCCAGCAGCCGCGGUAAUACGGAGGGGACUAGCGUUGUUCGGAAUUACUGGGCGUAAAGAGUUCGUAGGCGGACUGACAAGUUAGAGGUGAAAUCCCAGGGCUCAACCCUGGAACUGCCUUUAAAACUGUCAGUCUAGAGACCGGAAGAGGUUAGGGGAAUACCUAGUGUAGAGGUGAAAUUCGUAGAUAUUAGGUGGAACACCAGUGGCGAAGGCGCCUAACUGGUCCGGUACUGACGCUGAGGAACGAAAGCGUGGGGAGCAAACAGGAUUAGAUACCCGUGUAGUC